This 359-nucleotide long non-coding RNA is filed under the name Homo sapiens (human). RNAcentral describes it as "HSALNT0261288". Lineage: Eukaryota; Metazoa; Chordata; Mammalia; Primates; Hominidae. The record is from RNAcentral.
UUUUGAGAGAGAGUCUCACUCUGUUGCCCAGGUGGAAUGCAGUGGCACAAUCUCAGCUCACUGCAGCCUCCACCUCCCAGGUUCAAGCAAUUCUCCUGCUUUGGCCUCCUGAGUAGCUGGGACUACAGGUGUGUGCCACCACGCCCGGCUAAUUUUUGUAUUUGUUAGUAGAGAUGGGGUUUCACCAUAUUGGCCAGGCUGGUCUCAAACUCCUGACCUCGUGAUCCAUCUGCCUCAGCCUCCCAAAGUGCUGGGAUUAUAGGCAUGAGCCACCGCACCCGGCUUGUUUUUCUUUACAUUUGAUCAUCUAUGUAUGCGUAUCUACUAAGCAAUAUAGUAACCACUAUCCUGACUUUUAU